Molecule: long non-coding RNA, 2581 nt
Filed under: Olea europaea subsp. europaea
Lineage: Eukaryota; Viridiplantae; Streptophyta; Magnoliopsida; Lamiales; Oleaceae
Source: RNAcentral
CUCGAACCCGAACUCUCACUCACGCCUCUCCCGCCUCCUUCCAUUUGCCCCAAAAAUAUUACGCUUUCUCAAGCUACUGAUUCGCCGCCUCCUUCCAUCAAUAACAACCACCACCCGCCACCUAAGCCGCCUGAACCACACACCACCGGCACCCUCUCACCUCCCUCUACAACCUUCGACCAUUGGCUGCCCACCAGACCGCUAGAAAUAUCACCAAUUCCCAUCCAAAAUCACAAGCGCAAUGACGAUUUUUUCCCAGUUACUUCCAUAUCUGGCCUUUCUCUCAAUCGUGGAGCACCACCACAACAUUCUUCUCAGCCAGGCACAUUUAGUUCUACCAUGGGUCACCUUCAAUUUCUUCCGGAAUCAUCUGAGCUUGUUGGAGCAGUUCGUGAGAUUUGUGAAAAAUUUAGGUCCAACAAAUUUGAUGAGUUAGUUCAACAAUUGAUUUGCAUGAUUUUAUCUUUUUUUUUUUUUUUGGUUACUUAUUCUCUGUAUUUGUGCCGUUUUAUUAUACAACGUUGGCAAUCCAAAGGUGCAAGCACUGGGAGCACCGUAAUUAAGGUAAAUUAGUUAUUUACUAUAUUUGAUUUGAACUGAAAAUUCAUGACUUCAUUCAAAAAUCCACGAGUAAUUCUCUUUAAUUCAUAAACAGUUUUCUUUGAUUAGAUUGAUAACUGUAUAACGUUCCAAUCCAGCUGUAACACAAUUUAGUUAGCAUGGUAGUUAGCUGUGAUAGUUAGUUAGCCACGUGUAAUCUUCACAUUGGAUGUAAUAGUUAGUUACUUGAAUGUAUAUUCAGUUUGCUUGCUAGAGAUCUAUUUAUAUUCGAGAUUUGUAAUCCAUUUCACUUGAAUGAGAAUAAAUUCCUCUUCAUUUCAAUAUGGUAUCAAAGCAAUAAUUUGCUUCCUUUUUCAUUGUAAUAAUUUGCACGUCUUUGAAACAAAAUGGUAGAAGCUGUAAAUCAAAACCAAUCCUUCAAUUCAUCUUCCUACUCGAUGAGCAAUUCCACCAUAGAGGAUGGAUCGAGCCCCUACUUUCUGCAUCAUUCUGAUAAUCCAGGUUUGGUUCUUGUUUCCCAACCUUUGAUAGGAGAGAACUAUGCUUCCUGGAGUCGUGCUAUAUACAUAGCUUUAUCUAUGAAGAAUAAGAUAGGAUUUAUCAUUGGAUCCAUACUGAAACCUAAGGAGAAUGAAGAUUUGUUGAAUGCCUGGAUCUGAAACAAUAACAUUGUGAUUUCAUAGAUUCUUAACUCAGUUUCCAAAGAUAUUUCAGCUGGCGUUAUCUAUGCUGAAUCUGCUCAAGAAAUUUGGGAUGAUCUCAAGGAGAGAUAUCAACAAAAGAAUGCUCCUCAUAUAUAUCAGUUGAGGAGAUAACUGAUGAACAUUACCCAAAGUCAAUCUUCUGUAAGUGUGUAUUUUACAAAGUUGAAAACCAUUUGGGAGGAGCUCAGCAAUUACAGACCAAUAUGUACGUGUGGAAAGUGCAAUUGUGGGGGAACGAAGAAGCUGACAGAUCCCUACCAUAUGGAGUAUGUUAUGUCUUUCUUAAUGGGGCUAAAUGAUUCAUUUGCUCAGGUGCCAGGUCAGUUGUUGAUGAUGGACCCUCUUCCCUCCGUAAACAAAGGAUUCACACUCAUAUCUCAAGAAGAACAACAAAGGAGCUUCAAUGCGAACAUUAAUGCUGCUGGUAACACUGAUUCAAUGGCAUUCCAAGUUAAGAAUGAUGCCAAACGGUACAACAAAAUUCAGAGGAGGGAGAGACCUGUUUGUACUUAUGGCGGAUACACAGGGCAUGAAGUGGAUAAAUGUUAUAAAAUUGCACGGUUACCCACCUGGAUUCAAAAUAAAGUAGAAAUCAACCUCUAGCAAUCAAGUAAACCAUGCCAUUUCAAACCAAGUCUCUGAAUCUUUUUCUGAGAGCAAGCAUGUGGCAAUGUUGGAAACUUUAUGCAGACUUUAAAUUCCAAUCAAUAUCAGCAAUUGAUGAACAUGUUAAGCAAUCACCUAACAAACGCCAAGCUUGAUACUGAUGCAAGGGUUAAUUCUGGACAUAUUUCAUGUACAUGUUUAUAUAUAUUUCAUCAUCCAACAAUUAAUUCCAAAACCUGCUGGAUGGUGGACUCAAGUGCCACAAGUUAUAUUUGCUACAAUAAGUCAGCUUUCCACAUGAUGAAACCAAUUCAGAAUGCAUAUAUUACAUUGCAAAAUAAUGAAAGACUUCCUGUUCAUUUUAUUUGCACUGUGAGAAUUAACUCAAAUUUGGUGAUUGAAGAUGUAUUGUGUGUUCCUAUGUUCAAAUUCAACCUCCUAUCUGUCAGUUCCAUAACCGGGAAAUCUUCUAUAAAUGUCAUCUUUCUCACUAAUUCUUGCAUUACAUAGGAGCUCAACAGCUUGAAGACGAUUGGCAAGGGUAAAAGGAUAGGUGAUUUAUACAUAUUGGAUGCUGCCAACCUUCUUCUAUUCAAAGUAGUAGCAAUUUGUUUCCAGUUUGUUCUGCAGUCAAUAAUGCAACUUUCAAUACAUGACAUAACAGACUUGGUCAUUUGUCAUUCCAAAGGCUAGAAUUGUUAAAAGACAGU